UACUUUCUUUCUUUCUCUACUUUGAUGCAUGCCAUUCUCUUCCCCACACGAUGCUCAAUCUCAAAAUUCCUCUCACCCACAUCAGCUGCCAUUAGUCACAAGAUGGCCACAGGUCCCCAAAUAGUAUUAGUAAUUUCUGCAACCGAAAUUGAAUCCAAAGGAGAUGAAGCCUCUGAUCGACAGCAGCGUGGGAAUAGUGAGAUUCAGGGUUUUUCCUUGACGGAAGAUUCGCCGA
RNAcentral lists this long non-coding RNA (235 nucleotides) under Nicotiana benthamiana. Its description in RNAcentral is "long non-coding RNA (NBEN_LNC036081)". The record is from RNAcentral. Lineage: Eukaryota; Viridiplantae; Streptophyta; Magnoliopsida; Solanales; Solanaceae.